AUUGAACGCUGGCGGCAUGCCUAGCACAUGCAAGUCGAACGGCAGCACGGUCUAGCUUGCUAGAUGGGUGGCGAGUGGCGAACGGGUGAGUAACGCGUAGGAAUAUGCCUUGAAGUGGGGGACAACUUGGGGAAACUCAAGCUAAUACCGCAUAAUUUCUUAGGAAAAAAGCUGGGGACCUUAGGGCCUGGCGCUUCAAGAUUAGCCUGCGUACGAUUAGCUAGUUGGUAGGGUAAGAGCCUACCAAGGCGACGAUCGUUAGCUGGUCUGAGAGGAUGGCCAGCCACACGGGAACUGAGACACGGUCCAGACUCCUACGGGAGGCAGCAGUGGGGAAUAUUGGACAAUGGGGGCAACCCUGAUCCAGCAAUGCCGCGUGUGUGAAGAAGGCCUGAGGGUUGUAAAGCACUUUCAGUGGGGAGGAGGAUUGCCAGGUUAAGAGCUAGGUAAUUGGACGUUACCCACAGAAGAAGCACCGGCUAACUCCGUGCCAGCCGCCGCGGUAA
RNAcentral lists this ribosomal RNA (506 nucleotides) under uncultured bacterium. Its description in RNAcentral is "partial 16S ribosomal RNA". It matches the Rfam family "Bacterial small subunit ribosomal RNA", at positions 30 to 523 of the family's 1533-position model. The record is from RNAcentral.